GACGAACGCUGGCGGCGUGCUUAACACAUGCAAGUCGAACGGAAAGGCCCUGCUUUUGUGGGGUGCUCGAGUGGCGAACGGGUGAGUAACACGUGAGUAACCUGCCCUUGACUUUGGGAUAACUUCAGGAAACUGGGGCUAAUACCGGAUAGGAGCUCCUGCUGCAUGGUGGGGGUUGGAAAGUUUCGGCGGUUGGGGAUGGACUCGCGGCUUAUCAUCUUGUUGGUGGGGUAGUGGCUUACCAAGGCUUUGACGGGUAGCCGGCCUGAGAGGGUGACCGGCCACAUUGGGACUGAGAUACGGCCCAGACUCCUACGGGGGGCAGCAGUGGGGAAUAUUGCACAAUGGGCGGAAGCCUGAUGCAGCAACGCCGCGUGCGGGAUGACGGCCUUCGGGUUGUAAACCGCUUUCGCCUGUGACGAAGCGUGAGUGACGGUAAUGGGUAAAGAAGCACCGGCUAACUACGUG
Molecule: ribosomal RNA, 468 nt
Filed under: uncultured bacterium
Lineage: Bacteria
Description: partial 16S ribosomal RNA
Rfam family: Bacterial small subunit ribosomal RNA
Source: RNAcentral